AGAUCUGGGUUUGAAUUAUAGUUUGGCUGCUUCCUAGCUGUUUGAUCUUGGACAAAACUUUCAUUCAUUCUAUAUUUUUUGGAGUGUCUACUCCAUGCCAAUCAUGUGUGAAAUGUUGGGAUAACAAAGGCGAAUUCAAUCUGGCUCUCGUCCUCGGAGCUUAAGCAAAUCAUCUGGGGUAGCGUGACCCAUGCUACGAUGGAGGUGGAAUACGGGGCUGCAGGGCGGGGCCACAGGACAUAGUGGGCAGCUUAACCUCCUUGAGCCUCCCUAUCCCUAAUUCACGUGAUGGGGUUUGUAACCACUUCUCACAUCGUUGAGAGAAAAGGGUGAGCCUGACUCAGAGGUGUGGCAAAGGAAGGGCAGGGCAGGCUUUAAGGACAGGGACAGGGCUGUCAGAGGCUGAGGCUAGGGAGGGGCAGGAAGGGGUGUGAGGCAGGGCGGAAGAGAGCAGGGCCCUGGGCAGGUGCUGAGCCAGGUCCUGCAGGUCACCCAGUCGCUUGAGUCCACGAAUGCUGGAGGCAGGCACUGGAGAGCCAGGGUGGUUCAGCCGCAGCUCCUCUGAGCAGGGAGUCAAACAGGGCUGAAACAGACACCAGCUCUCCAGGACCAGCUGGAGCCUGGACCUGUGGCCUUCCCUGCCUCCACCUGGGCCUCAACCGUCACGACCACCUGGCCUUUGAGAAAUCAAAUGGCUCACGCUGUGUCUCAGAGCUGCAACGAUCCAACGCCCUCCAUCCUUCAGAGGCUGUCUGAGUCCGGGGACACAACUCCCACCCUCCUCUCCUGCCAGCCGCGGCCCGUGGCUGCUCUCUUCACUUCGUCCCGCUUCGCCCCGACUGUGGAUCUACCCGCUCCCUUCUCCCUCAGUCCCCAAAGCACCAGACUCACAGGCCUGCUGUGUGACCCACUUUUACCGACCUUUCGGGGAGAGUAGAGGGCAUUUGUGACUCAGCUCAGAGCAGGAAACACAUCUCACGUCAACUGUCAGACAGCGCUGCUCCGAAUCCCAUCACAGUGCUCCAGCAGGGGGCGUCCUCACCGGCCGCGGCCACAGCCACGGCUCAACCCGGCCUAGCUCCCAGACACCCUCCUUCCACCGCCUGUUUUCCACCGUCCCCGCCUGCUCUUUCAAGCCAGCAGCAAACAACACCCUAAUCCGUGUCUUUAUUAUUCAAAGACCUUAAGCACUCUUUCCCACCUCGUUCCCAUCUUGAUUAUUUCAGGGAAUGAAUUAGGGAUUCACCUUUACAAUCAAAAAAGUUCUCUCAAAGCCAGGCUACUGGAGUUCUAAUUCUGCCUUCCCACUUUUACUAGCUGUGAAAUCUCAGGAAAGUUACUUAACCUCUCUCUGUCUCAUUUUCCUCAUCUUUAAAAAACAGGAUGAUAAUAUUUAGCUCCUAAGAUGGUUGUGAGGAUUUAAGUGAGCUGAUAUAUCCAAGAAUGUCUAGAACAGCGCGUGGCAGAAUGGGCAUUGCAUAUGGGUUUAAUCUUGUAACUGCCAUGUUUCACCAAUUCUAAGGUGUAUCUCGUUUCUCAUCAUAAGAGCUCUUCCGCUCGUGUGGCAGCUGGGAGUGGCCGUCAUUGCCUGCGCAUACCUAAACUUGGUCAGCAGCCAAGUGUUUUGUGAGACCUAAGAAAGGAAGAGCCCCAUAAGUAAAUGGAACUGUUGUGUUGUUUUAUUACCGAGAAAAGGGCAGAAUGAUUGCUAGUCACACGUGAAGCAAGAAAACCCCGGCAAUAAAGCUUGCAGAAUGAGUGGCUGAGGCUUGAAAAUAAAUGGUGGAAACAAUAGUGGACAAUCUUUUAAAGAAUGGCACAUUGCCAAUGCUCCUGAUGGCACAGAAGGUGACACCAUGCAGAAAAUCAAGGCUCUGAGUCAAAGAGGGUUUCAGAAAAAUUGGACUCUGAAUGUGAAGAAAUCUGGGGACUAUUUUAGCCAAUUUGUUUUGCCUAUAAUUUCCUUUUAUGCAUGCAAAAGAGCAAUUCUGAC
RNAcentral lists this long non-coding RNA (1993 nucleotides) under Homo sapiens (human). Its description in RNAcentral is "HSALNT0368155". The record is from RNAcentral. Lineage: Eukaryota; Metazoa; Chordata; Mammalia; Primates; Hominidae.